CCUACGGGAGGCAGCAGUGGGGAAUAUUGCACAAUGGGGGAAACCCUGAUGCAGCGACGCCGCGUGAGUGAAGAAGUAUCUCGGUACGUAAAGCUCUAUCAGCAGGGCAGAAAAUGACGGUACCUGACUAAGAAGCACAGGCUAACUACGUGCCAGCAGCCGCGGUAAUACGUCGGGGGCAAGCGUUAUCCGGAUUUACUGGGUGUAAAGGGGGCGUAGACGGGAGCACAAGUCUGGAGUGAAAUCCCGGGGCUUAACCCCGGAACUGCUUUGGAAACUGUGCGGCUGGAGUGCAGGAAGGGUAAGCGUAAUUCCUAGUGUAGCGGUGAAAUGCGUAGAUAUUAGGAGGAACACCGGUGGCGAACGCGGCUUACUGGACUGUAACUGACGUUGAGGCUCGAAAGCGUGGGGAGCAAACAGGAGUAGAUACCCCGGUAGUC
Molecule: ribosomal RNA, 440 nt
Filed under: uncultured bacterium
Lineage: Bacteria
Description: partial 16S ribosomal RNA
Rfam family: Bacterial small subunit ribosomal RNA
Source: RNAcentral